RNAcentral lists this ribosomal RNA (254 nucleotides) under uncultured bacterium. RNAcentral describes it as "partial 16S ribosomal RNA". It matches the Rfam family "Bacterial small subunit ribosomal RNA", at positions 524 to 776 of the family's 1533-position model. The record is from RNAcentral.
UACGGGGGGAGCAAGCGUUGUUCGGAUUUACUGGCGUAAAGGGCGCGUAGGCGGUCAGCACAAGUCAGUUGUGAAAUCUCCGGGCUUAACUCGGAAAGGUCAACUGAUACUGUGCGACUAGAGUGCGGAAGGGGCAACUGGAAUUCUCGGUGUAGCGGUGAAAUGCGUAGAUAUCGAGAGGAACACCUGCGGCGAAGGCGGGUUGCUGGGCCGACACUGACGCUGACAGCGCGAAAGCCAGGGGAGCAAACGGG